UACGAAGGGAGCUAGCGUUGUUCGGAAUUACUGGGCGUAAAGGGCGCGUAGGCGGUUAAACAAGUCAGGCGUGAAAGCCCCGGGCUCAACCCGGGAACAGCGCUUGAGACUGUUUAUCUAGAGUACGGUAGAGGUAAGUGGAAUUCCCAGUGUAGCAGUGAAAUGCGUAGAUAUUGGGAGGAACACCAGUGGCGAAGGCGGCUUACUGGACCGUAACUGACGCUGAGGCGCGAAAGCGUGGGGAGCAAACAGG
Molecule: ribosomal RNA, 253 nt
Filed under: uncultured bacterium
Lineage: Bacteria
Description: partial 16S ribosomal RNA
Rfam family: Bacterial small subunit ribosomal RNA
Source: RNAcentral